UAUCACUCUUUCCUCACCAUAUGCAUAAGUAUGAAUGUGCAUGGCAUCACCCUUCGUGCUUUAUCACUCUUUCCUCACCCAAAUAGUGGAAAAUAACAACAUCCUGGCAAGGGAAUCAACAAUAGAAAUAAAUACAUCUCGGCAAGGGAAUCAACAAUAGACAUAAAUACAUCCCGACAAGGGAAUCAGCUAUAACCAAUCUCGUUCUAAUAAUUAACUUCACAAAAUAAACCUCAACUUGAGCCAAUACUCAACAAUAGGCAAAUAUCGAGAAAAUGAUCGUAAGUCUUACUCAACAUGGAUAAUCAUCAAUCUAGGCAUGGAUAGUAUUUAAUAAGAAUCACAACGAUCACAAUAUAAGACUCGCGGGCAUGCUCAACACCAACGUAUAGAUGCUUGUCACUACACCUAUACGUCGUACAUAAUACUAACACAUAGCAAAUAACACAGAACACCUAUUUCCUCAAGCUAAAGUUAGACCAAACACUUACCUCGAUUUCACGACCACAAAUCAAGCCUCAAUUAUCGCUUUCCCGUUAGAUUUCACCUCUAAUAUACUUGUAUCUAGUCAUAAUUAGCUUAAUAACAUCAAUAAAUGCUAAAGAACUCACAUCAAAUGCUUAAUUAUGGUUUUUCCAACAUUUUCCCCAAAAAGUCAAUAAUCGACCUCGGGCCCGCUUGGUCAAAACCCAAAGUUCGGAUCAAAUCCCGAUUACCCAUUCACCCCCAAGCACGGAUAUGCAAUUGAUUUUGGAAUCCGGCCUCAAUUAAGGUCUAAAUCCCCAAAUUUCACCCCAAAACACCCAAUUUCCCAUGAAAAUCCCUAAAUUUUGUGAUGAAAUCUUGUAAAAAGAUGAAAUAUAUUGAAAGAAAUGAGUUAAAAGUUGUUUACCUAUGAUUUGGGGAAGAACUUUUCUUUGAAAAAUCGCCUAUGGGAGCUUAGAGUUUGAAAAUUUGAAAGAAUGAGUUGAAAUCCUGUCUAAGUUAUAAUUUACACAGUCGCAGUUAUCACAUUUGUGAUGCCAAGUUCACAAAUGCGAACUCGCAAUUGUGGCCAAGGCUUCACAAAAUGCGAAGGUUGGCCUGUCAUGCUGCCUUCGCAAAUGUGAACAUUGUUCACAAUUGCAGCUACUGUGCAUGUCGCAUUUGCGACGAUGAACUUUGCAUUUGCUAAGGUCCCCUCCCAGCCCAGUCUUUGCAAUUGCGAUGAACCUUCGCAAUUGCGGUGCUCGCAUUUGCGAGCCAGACUUCGUAAAUGCGAAGUUUACAGACCUGCAAUCACACCAGCAAUUUCCUUAAGUCUCAAAACACUCUGCGGCCUAUCUAAAAUUCACCCAAGCCCUCGGGGCUCCAAAUCAAACAUGUAGACAAGUCCAAAAAUAUCAUACAAACUUGUUCAUGUAAUCAAAUCAUCAAAAUAACAUUAACAACUACGAAUUUAGCAUCAAAAUCAAUGAAAUUCUCAAGAACACCUAAAGUUACUAUUUUUCACAACCGAGGGUCCUAUUUAUAUCAAAUCAAGUCCUAUUCUUACCAAAUUUUACAGAUUCGACUUAAACAUCAUUUUAAACCUGUACCGAGCUCCGAAGCCAAAAUACAUGCUGGUACCAUCAUAUUCCAUCAUUACUCAAUUUCCAAACUCCUUAUAUUUUUCAGUUAAACAAUUUUCUUCAAAAAUUCAUUUCUCGGGUUAGGGACCUCGGAAUUCAAUUCCGGGCAUACGCCCAAGUCCCAUAUUUUUCUACGGACCCUUCGGGAGCAUCAAAUCAUAGUUGUGGGUCCGUUUACCCAAAAUAUUGACCUAAGUCAAUUUAAAUUCAAAUUUAAAGGCAAAAUUGGUAUUUUCUCAAAUUUUCACAUAAGGGCUUUCCAGAAGCGCGCCCGAACUACGCACGCAAAUUGAGGAGAAAGAAAAUGAGGUCUUGAAGGCCUCGGAAUCUCGGAUUGAGUUCUAAAAUACGAGAUGACCUUUUGGGGUCAUCACAGUAAUGCCAUAAGUUCGACUUCAAUAGCGGAAGAGGAAAGCAGAGGCAAAGUUUAACCACAAACCCAACAACUAUCAGUACUAUGAAAAAUACCAGUUGCAGCUGCUUGAUUGUUAAGACAUGGAAUGCUCCAUCAGUAUUAAGCUUAAAAGGAGGAAUAGUGGGGGAAAGGGGUACCUUUUGAUAUAUUGAGUGUGGGAAGGAGGGGAGGGGGGCACAUGGGAGAGGUAGAUGAAUUCAAUGAGAUGAAAGCAGAUAUUGUGCACAGAAGGAAGUAUAUGGAGAUGAUUAAAAACAUUAUUAUUGCAAGCUAACCAAAUGUGCCAAAAGGUAAAAAGUAUAAGGGAUGAAGCAGGAACUACAAUAUCAUGAUAGAUGAACGAGUUCUUAGAGUGUGUGCACAAUAACUAGAGUCACUCUAUGAGGGGGCUGAUAGAAGGUUGUACGCUAAAAGUUGACCAAAUAUGAAAAAUCAUUCGACAUUGGAAAAAGAUAUGAGGUAUAUUUUCAGGUGUGUUUGGACAUUUGUGACAAUUCAAGUUAGGGAUUGUCAGACCUCCUUUUUUUCCUACACCCUCCGAAAGGGGUAUGUAUAAGGGAGUUUUUCCAAUUAAAGGACAGUCGAAACGAGAUUAUUUAUUAGAAUUCAGAGUCGCCACUUGGGAUAAUUUAUGGUAUCCCAAGUCACCUGUUCAAAUCCUGAAUUGAAGAAAAUAUUGACUCUGUAUUAUAGUCCGCGAACCAGAAAUCCGAGUAAGGAAUUCUGUUAACCCGGGAGAAGGUGUUAGGCAUUCCCGAGUUCCGUGGUUCUAGCACGGUCGCUCAACUGUUAUAUUCGGCUUAAUUAUCUGAUUUUAGUACAUUUUAAAACUAUGCGCAUUUUAAAACUUUAAUCGCUUUUAGUCAUUUUAGGAAUAUUGCAAUGUUAUUAAAACACGUCUUGAACCACGUCACAUAAAUGCACCCGCGGUAUUCGACAUAUUUUAACUAACAUUGUGAUUUUGAAUUUGGGUCACAUAAAUGCACACCGGAGUUUAGGAAGGUAAAUUAUUAACAUAACGCGCCUAAAGCAACUACGUGUUUGGACUGUUAUGCUCGAACGAAUUUAGGAUGGGUCGGGAAGCUAGGAUUCAUGGAGAAGUGACUGUGAAGGAGAUGUUAUGAAUUUCAUUAAUUUUUAACCCAUGUAGUAAUUGAAGAGAAAUUUUUUAUAUAUAUAAGAAUUGGGCUAGGCUCACUAAAUCGAGCUCAACAGAAACGACUCGACUGGCCCAUUUAAUUCUAAAAAUGCAUCUUAUCAAACCUACUCAAUUUUCCCCAAGCCAAUUUAUUAAAACAUCAAACAAAAAUAGAAUUAUUCUCGAAACUUCCAUAGUAAUUAAACUAACAUGAGUAUUAACUCCAAUUAAAGUAGGCACAUAACGAUAUUGACCAAUGAAAAUGAUUAAGCAUUUUAAAUCACAAGAAACAAUAAACAUGACGGAAGCCCGCAAAUAAAGAAUUAAACUGAACUUAAUAACAUGCUAAAAAAACUUUAUUCGUGCUCAAAUAUACACAACUAACAUAUCCAAACAGUGCAUUCGCGAAAGAGUAAAAGAGUGCAAAAGAUGAACCUUCUAUUGCUGGAGUUUCCCAAUGUUUACAACAAAGAGGAGCUCCAAAAUUGCAAAUCCAAACGAUCUACAGGCGACAACUUCGCCGAACCCAGCAACCGGAGUCCACCUCACCGGAAACUUUGACGACCUGCUACAUCUUAUAGUAAAAAAGAGCUGGCCGGAGAUGGUGAAACUCCGGCGAAACGCCGGUAAAAAGCAGUGACCUAGCGGAGAUGAAGUUGCGAUCGUUUUUAUGUGGUUUCAGAGGGCUUUUAAUGGUGAGAAGACGCUGUGUUUUGUGAGUGAAAAUGAACGAAAAUAGGGAUGGUUUGGAGUGGUGUGAAGAAGGAACGACGUGAGGGUCGGUGUCGUUAUUGUGUUACGAUGGAAUUGGGUGGAGCUCGGCGACUGACUUCUAGGGUUGAGGUAAGUCACUGGGAGGUCGCAAGGAGGUUCAGCGACGAUGGUGAGCUGAAGGGUGGUCAUCGAUAGAGCUGCUGGACGCUGGCUGUUACGGAAGAAGAAGAGAACGACAGUGGGGUGGGUCGGGGAAGACGAUGAUCAGGGGCGAGGUCAUUUCUGUAUGGUUGUUCCUCAGCGUUUUGUUUUUCGGCCUUCUGUGUUCUCUUGUUGCUGGUUCGACGAAGUACAGGAGGGGUCAUUUUUAGAGGUAGGGUCGUUUGGAGAAGAUGACGCGCAUGGGGGGUCU
This 4289-nucleotide long non-coding RNA is filed under the name Nicotiana tabacum (common tobacco). RNAcentral describes it as "long non-coding RNA (NTAB_LNC006023)". Lineage: Eukaryota; Viridiplantae; Streptophyta; Magnoliopsida; Solanales; Solanaceae. The record is from RNAcentral.